This 387-nucleotide ribosomal RNA is filed under the name Ceramium sp. RNAcentral describes it as "partial small subunit ribosomal RNA". It matches the Rfam family "Eukaryotic small subunit ribosomal RNA", at positions 582 to 975 of the family's 1831-position model. Lineage: Eukaryota; Rhodophyta; Florideophyceae; Ceramiales; Ceramiaceae. The record is from RNAcentral.
AUUCCAGCUCUGUAAGCGUAUACCAAAGUUGUUGCAGUUAAAACGCUCGUAGUCGGACGUUGGCGGGCGCCGCUAGUCGGCCUCACGGUCGAUCUUGUUGGCGACCGCCUUUGUGGAGGGGGGCUUGGGUGGUGCUUUGUUGUCAUCCCUUUGUCGCUGCCACCGUUUACUGUGAAAAAAUUAGAGUGUUCAAAGCGGGCGUUUGCCAUGAAUACAUUAGCAUGGAAUAAUAGAAUAGGACCUGGUCCUGUUUUGUUGGUUUGUGAGUAUCAGGUAAUGAUUAAGAGGGACGGUUGGGGGCAUUUGUAUUCCGGCGUCAGAGGUGAAAUUCUUGGAUUGCCGGAAGACAAACAGCUGCGAAAGCGUCUGCCAAGGACGUUUUCAUCA